Pelobates cultripes (western spadefoot toad) is the source of this 252-nucleotide non-coding RNA. The record is from the annotation of a GenBank genome assembly. Lineage: Eukaryota; Metazoa; Chordata; Amphibia; Anura; Pelobatidae.
GUGUGCCAGCACCUCAGACCACUGCUUGACCCUCAACACGGAGCCUUGUCUCGUCUUUGGGGGGAUUUACUGUAUGCUGCUAAGGACUGAUUGCCAGGAGUGUAAGCCGCUUGGAAGCUUUUCCUGUUCGCCUACUAGCAGCUAUUCGUAUGGUUCCUGUUCGUUUAUUUGAAGUGCUACCUUAUUCCCUUGUAUGCCGUUCGGGAGGUUGGAGCAUUCACUUAUUGGCGGUUCGUGAGUUUUGGUGAUUAU